Non-coding RNA from Pangasius djambal, 82 nucleotides. The record is from the annotation of a GenBank genome assembly. NCBI's taxonomy places the organism in Eukaryota, Metazoa, Chordata, Actinopteri, Siluriformes, Pangasiidae.
GACCGCUUGGUAGCGUGGCCUAAGACGCUGGAUUACGCCUCCCGUCUCUUCGGGGGCGUGGGUUCGAAUCCCACCGCUGCCU